ACGCUGGCGGCGUGCCUAAUACAUGCAAGUAGAACGCUGAAGAGAGGAGCUUGCUCUUCUUGGAUGAGUUGCGAACGGGUGAGUAACGCGUAGGUAACCUGCCUUGUAGCGGGGGAUAACUAUUGGAAACGAUAGCUAAUACCGCAUAACAAUGGAUGACACAUGUCAUUUAUUUGAAAGGGGCAAAUGCUCCACUACAAGAUGGACCUGCGUUGUAUUAGCUAGUAGGUGAGGUAACGGCUCACCUAGGCGACGAUACAUAGCCGACCUGAGAGGGUGAUCGGCCACACUGGGACUGAGACACGGCCCAGACUCCUACGGGAGGCAGCAGUAGGGAAUCUUCGGCAAUGGGGGCAACCCUGACCGAGCAACGCCGCGUGAGUGAAGAAGGUUUUCGGAUCGUAAAGCUCUGUUGUAAGUCAAGAACGAGUGUGAGAGUGGAAAGUUCACACUGUGACGGUAGCUUACCAGAAAGGGACGGCUAACUACGUGCCAGCAGCCGCGGUAAUACGUAGGUCCCGAGCGUUGUCCGGAUUUAUUGGGCGUAAAGCGAGCGCAGGCGGUUUGAUAAGUCUGAAGUUAAAGGCUGUGGCUCAACCAUAGUUCGCUUUGGAAACUGUCAAACUUGAGUGCAGAAGGGGAGAGUGGAAUUCCAUGUGUAGCGGUGAAAUGCGUAGAUAUAUGGAGGAACACCGGUGGCGUAAGCGGCUCUCUGGUCUGUAACUGACGCUGAGGCUCGAAAGCGUGGGGAGCGAACAGGAUUAGAUACCCUGGUAGUCCACGCCGUAAACGAUGAGUGCUAGGUGUUGGAUCCUUUCCGGGAUUCAGUGCCGCAGCUAACGCAUUAAGCACUCCGCCUGGGGAGUACGACCGCAAGGUUGAAACUCAAAGGAAUUGACGGGGGCCCGCACAAGCGGUGGAGCAUGUGGUUUAAUUCGAAGCAACGCGAAGAACCUUACCAGGUCUUGACAUCCCGAUGCUAUUUCUAGAGAUAGAAAGUUACUUCGGUACAUCGGUGACAGGUGGUGCAUGGUUGUCGUCAGCUCGUGUCGUGAGAUGUUGGGUUAAGUCCCGCAACGAGCGCAACCCCUAUUGUUAGUUGCCAUCAUUCAGUUGGGCACUCUAGCGAGACUGCCGGUAAUAAACCGGAGGAAGGUGGGGAUGACGUCAAAUCAUCAUGCCCCUUAUGACCUGGGCUACACACGUGCUACAAUGGUUGGUACAACGAGUUGCGAGUCGGUGACGGCAAGCUAAUCUCUUAAAGCCAAUCUCAGUUCGGAUUGUAGGCUGCAACUCGCCUACAUGAAGUCGGAAUCGCUAGUAAUCGCGGAUCAGCACGCCGCGGUGAAUACGUUCCCGGGCCUUGUACACACCGCCCGUCACACCACGAGAGUUUGUAACACCCGAAGUCGGUGAGGUAACCUUUUGGAGCCAGCCGCCUAAGGUGGGAUAGAUGAUUGGG
Molecule: ribosomal RNA, 1462 nt
Filed under: uncultured organism
Description: SSU rRNA
Rfam family: Bacterial small subunit ribosomal RNA
Source: RNAcentral